CCCUGUGAUUCUGUGGUGGUGGCACCACUCAGCCUCAGUAGAUGUGGAGAUAUGGCACUGAGAGGGACACAGCGAGGAUGGGUUGAUGGUUGGACUAGGUGAUCUUAGAUGUCUUUUCCAACCUUAAUGAUUCUGUGCAACUGCAGCCAUAUCCCCGUGUGGUUUCUGUUCUCCCCCGUGUUCUCCCUGCCAUUCCUGCUUGAAUCUAAUGAAUUAGAUUCUUUUCUUAUUCUGUCUUCUGCUCCUCCGCCGUCAUUAUUUGGCAGAGCUGUAGGCACAGACGUGUUGUAAUGCGGCAGCGAAGCCAGCUCGGGCUCCUUUUGAGCAGAACGAGCACUGCUUGCCAGCCGGCCUGCCGCUCCGCAGAGUGCUGGAGCUCCGUGCUCUGCCCGCUCCCAGCUCCGGCACCGUAACCGGCACUGCCGUGGCCCUCCACCCCAGCCUCAAACGCGACGCUCUCGAACGCGGCUCGACAGGGCGGGGGGCAGCCCGACAGGGCCGCUCUGCCCGCACCCACACGCCGCCUCUCCGAGCCCGGGGUGGGAGCGGCGGUGCGGGGCUGCGGCUCGGCUCCUCUGCGCGGUGCCGCCCCGGGGCAGGGAGGCAGGGCAGGCUGCGGGGGCCGGGCUGCCGGGGCCGGGCUGCCCCACCGCGUCCUGCGGCACUCGGCACCGCCGCCUGCAGCCGGGGAGCCUUUCUCAGAGGCGCUGCUGCCGAGAAACACGAGCGCGUAAGUAACUGAACGGGACAUGAAGAAUUGACAUUUAAAUGGCCAGCAUGUUGCAAAAGUGAUUUUACUGACAUAGAAAAGUCAUGGUGAAACAACUGUGGAUUAGAAGGAAAACUGGAAGGGAAGGGUGAAGCCCAUAGUGCUAUCAUUGACUACCACUGUUGCUUGGAAAUGGGCCAUUUGCUUUUCUUGAUGUUUCCUAUACCUUCCCUAGUGUACGGACUCUGGCUUGGAGGACAGACUGCAGGAACGAUAAAUGCUAUUUCUUAAGAGUGGUCUCAGGCUUUGUAGAGCUUGGUUUCCCUGUUCGAAGUUGGUAUUUUCAGUGGGCUGAAAUACAUCCUGCUUCUGGAAGUGCUUCCCCUUUGAUUUCCCCUUAGAUUCAUGAUACAAACUCAAGAUUCAUAGCGUAGCAGAGACAGGAAAUACAGUGGAGUACCAUUUCUUGUCACUGAGAUUUUUCCUAAGCAAACACACAAAACUAAGUAAAAAUCAGCCUCAAUUAAUUGUCCAUGAGCUCUAUAGGUAAGAGAAAGAGGAAAAUAUUAGGUCUGAUGCGAUGCUUGUUGCACACCUCCUGUGUAUGGUACUCUUAAAACUAAUACAGUUUUGUAUCAUGUAGAUUUGUCUCAUAGUCUAUGUUAGGAUAUGUUGUGGGGAAAUGGAUGUAAUAAUGUGAAAAGAUGAAGUUAGUGAUUUGUUUCAGGCAAUUUAGUUUAUUACAUUUGACAUGUUAUCAGGACUCUGAAGCUUCCUUUUGGAAACAUGUCACAUCCUGCUUUCUUAAUGAUCAUCUGCAGUCAUUCAUUGUAGUCAGGUGCUUUCUAUCGGAAGCUAGCAGAGGCUUUCUGCUGCUGCUGAAUACAGAAAUUACUUUGGAUUAUUAAUUGCAUAAAAAUUUUAUAUUACAUUUUUGGAAGUGUCUAGAGGUGAUCUCAAUAAGGUAGGCAUUGUUCAAAAUGUGAGUUGUACGGUUAAUCCUUAUUUCAAGGAAUGUGCUGUAUUAGUUCUUGAAGUAUGCAGGCACUCUAUUUCCCCAUUUUUUCUGUUAGGUUGUAUUUUUUUUGUCAGUUAAGCCACAUAUGCUUAUAUUAAUAAAGGACUUAGAGUUUAAACUAUGAUUGUACAGUAUGUUUAGUUAAAUGCCAAACAACAUGCUGAUGUCAGUAAUUUCCCAGAAAAGGCGACAGUUCUCUGAGAUUUCAGAAUGCCACUGUUCUCUGGUAAUCUUUUCUUGUCUCUUACAAGCUAGAAUUUUAUUUUGUGACUGUAGAGGUACCAGUUUGUGUUCACAGUGAUUACCUUGUGCUUAUCUGUGCCUUUAUACUGUUGGAAGAAUGUCUUUUCUUUUUCCUCACCAAGACACUAAGGACUCAGCAAUCAUAGAGCUGUAUUUCUUUUUGUGACAUCACAAAACAAAACAUGUUAAUUUGCUGUUGGAUGGUUACCAGGUAUUGUGC
RNAcentral lists this long non-coding RNA (2190 nucleotides) under Pavo cristatus (Indian peafowl). Its description in RNAcentral is "lncRNA (ENSPSTG00000002855.1)". Lineage: Eukaryota; Metazoa; Chordata; Aves; Galliformes; Phasianidae. The record is from RNAcentral.